RNAcentral lists this long non-coding RNA (461 nucleotides) under Vigna radiata. RNAcentral's name for it is "long non-coding RNA (VRAD_LNC002969)". The record is from RNAcentral. Lineage: Eukaryota; Viridiplantae; Streptophyta; Magnoliopsida; Fabales; Fabaceae.
AAGUGCAUUGAAAAAGGUUGGUGUAAUCGUUUACCAAUAGGUGGUAAAUGUUUACGCGAAUGUUUUGUUCAAUUUGUACACAAAGUCCUUCACAAGGGACCACAUUUUUGUACACAAGGGACCAAGAUGUCAAAUUUCAACUUUUUGGCAAACUUUGCAUCGGUUUUAGUUUUUUUUGGUUUUAAGUUGUGUUUUGGGGGUGGAGAGUUGAUUUUGGGGACCCCAAAUUCCAUUGAGGAAGGUCUUGUGUUCACAAAAAGUAGUUGGAUGAAAUCAUGAGUCAAGUGCAUUAAAAAAAGGUGGUGUAAUCGUGUACCAAUAGGUGGUAAAUGUUUACGCGAAUGUUUUGUUCAAUUUGUACAGAAAGUCCUUCACAAGGGACCANUUUUUUGUACACAGGGGACCACAUUGUAAAAUUUUAACUUUUUGGCAAACUUUGGAUUGGUUUUUGAUGAUUUUGG